UGCAGUCGAGCGGUAGAGAGGUGCUUGCACCUCUUGAGAGCGGCGGACGGGUGAGUAAAGCCUAGGAAUCUGCCUGGUAGUGGGGGAUAACGCUCGGAAACGGACGCUAAUACCGCAUACGUCCUACGGGAGAAAGCAGGGGACCUUCGGGCCUUGCGCUAUCAGCUGAGCCUAGGUCGGAUUAGCUAGUUGGUGAGGUAAUGGCUCACCAAGGCGACGAUCCGUAACUGGUCUGAGAGGAUGAUCAGUCACACUGGAACUGAGACACGGUCCAGACUCCUACGGGAGGCAGCAGUGGGGAAUAUUGGACAAUGGGCGAAAGCCUGAUCCAGCCAUGCCGCGUGUGUGAAGAAGGUCUUCGGAUUGUAAAGCACUUUAAGUUGGGAGGAAGGGCAUUAACCUAAUACGUUAGUGUUUUGACGUUACCGACAGAAUAAGCACCGGCUAACUCUGUGCCAGCAGCCGCGGUAAUACAGAGGGUGCAAGCGUUAAUCGGAAUUACUGGGCGUAAAGCGCGCGUAGGUGGUUCGUUAAGUUGGAUGUGAAAUCCCCGGGCUCAACCUGGGAACUGCAUUCAAAACUGUCGAGCUAGAGUAU
Molecule: ribosomal RNA, 597 nt
Filed under: uncultured bacterium
Lineage: Bacteria
Description: bacterial SSU rRNA
Rfam family: Bacterial small subunit ribosomal RNA
Source: RNAcentral